UACCCGCGGCCCGAGUGGUGCUCAUUAUUAUUGAGCCUAAAGCGUCCGUAGCUGGCCGGACAAAUCUCCGGGUAAAUCGGGCGGCUCAACCGUCCGAAUUCCGGAGACACUGUUCGGCUUGAGAUCGGGAGAGGGAGAAGGUACUCCUGGGGUAGGGGUAAAAUCCUGUAAUCCGAGGGGGACCACCGGUGGCGAAGGCGUUCUCCUAGAACGAAUCUGACAGUGAGGGACGAAGCCCUAGGGCGCAAACGGG
RNAcentral lists this ribosomal RNA (253 nucleotides) under uncultured bacterium. RNAcentral describes it as "partial 16S ribosomal RNA". It matches the Rfam family "Archaeal small subunit ribosomal RNA", at positions 474 to 727 of the family's 1478-position model. The record is from RNAcentral.